This 575-nucleotide ribosomal RNA is filed under the name uncultured bacterium. RNAcentral describes it as "bacterial LSU rRNA". It matches the Rfam family "Bacterial large subunit ribosomal RNA", at positions 1637 to 2195 of the family's 2925-position model. The record is from RNAcentral.
GGUGACCGUACCGUAAACCGACACAGGUGGACGAGAUGAGUAUUCUAAGGCGCUCGGGUGAUCCACCCUUAAGGAACUCGACCAAUUAGCCCCGUAACUUCGGAAGAAGGGGUACUCCUGAUGGUGAAAGACUUGCUCUGUAAGCUUUUGGGAGUGGCACUAAAGUGGCUCAGGCGACUGUUUACUAAAAACAUAGGUCUCUGCAAAGUCGUAAGACGACGUAUAGGGACUGACGCCUGCCCAAUGCCGGAAGGUUAAGGGGAGAGGUUAGGCUUCGGCCGAAGCUUUGAACUGAAGCCCCGGUUAAUGGCGGCCGUAACUAUAACGGUCCUAAGGUAGCGAAAUUCCUUGUCGGGUAAGUUCCGACCUGCACGAAUGGCGUAACGAUCUGAGCAUUGUCUCGAGGGUGGGCCCGGUGAAGUUGUAAUACCAGUGAAGAUGCUGGUUACCCGCAAAAGGACGGAAAGACCCCGUGCACCUUUACUACAGCUUGAUAUUGGGUUUAGUUAUUGCUUGUAUAGGAUAGGUGGGAGACAUUGAAACUGGGACGCUAGUCUCGGUGGAGUCACCCUUGG